Non-coding RNA from Arachis ipaensis, 366 nucleotides. The record is from RefSeq and is a predicted model, not a curated record. NCBI's taxonomy places the organism in Eukaryota, Viridiplantae, Streptophyta, Magnoliopsida, Fabales, Fabaceae.
GCAUGUUUUGUUGUUAAUGAGAAACCUCACUGUCAACUUGUCUAGCCCUGAAUUUGAGCCGAUGUUGGGCAGAAGAGGAUGUGGAUCCUUCGUUGUUCCCACGUCGCCAGGAGAAAGAGAAAACAUUGAAUGGAUCUUUAGAAGAAUUGGACAACUUUAACUCGGUUUGGCCCUAAUUUUAGACUAGGUUUAUGUUUAUAUUUAGGCAAUUCUGAUAGUGGUUAGCUACAAGAGCAGAUUGUUUUAUACACCUUUAGUGUAUGCUACAGUACAGAUUUUACAGGUUUUCUUUUUUUCAAUAGUAUUUGUUUUGAAUUAUAGUUGAUGUAUCAAUACACUUUGUUGAUGUAUGGUUGUUACUUAUUA